AAAUAGUUGCGUUAGGGAUUGAAACGACAUCCUUUUUUGUGUCAGUUCGAGUUUUUUGUGAAGAAAUGAACAAAAAGUAUCUAGAACAAAUAAAAAAGAUAUAGUGUAAAGCCCGACCUUUA
Molecule: small RNA, 122 nt
Filed under: Polaribacter sp. KT 15
Lineage: Bacteria; Pseudomonadati; Bacteroidota; Flavobacteriia; Flavobacteriales; Flavobacteriaceae
Description: Flavo-1 RNA
Rfam family: Flavo-1 RNA
Source: RNAcentral